This 294-nucleotide ribosomal RNA is filed under the name Gammaproteobacteria bacterium. RNAcentral's name for it is "partial 16S ribosomal RNA". It matches the Rfam family "Bacterial small subunit ribosomal RNA", at positions 1237 to 1533 of the family's 1533-position model. Lineage: Bacteria; Pseudomonadati; Pseudomonadota; Gammaproteobacteria. The record is from RNAcentral.
GUACAAAGGGUAGCCAACCCGCGAGGGGGAGCCAAUCCUGAUAAAGCCGGCCCAAGUUCGGAUUGGAGGCUGAAACUCGCCUCCAUGAAGUUGGAAUCGCUAGUAAUGGCACAUCAGCUACGGUGCCGUGAAUACGUUCCCGGGUCUUGUACACACCGCCCGUCACAUCAUGGAAGCCGAUCGCACCCGAAGUACCUGCGUCAACAAUGGCAGGGUCCUAAGGUGUAGUUGGUAACUGGGAUGAAGUCGUAACAAGGUAGCCGUAGGGGAACCUGCGGCUGGAUCACCUCCUUU